This 460-nucleotide ribosomal RNA is filed under the name uncultured bacterium. RNAcentral describes it as "partial 16S ribosomal RNA". It matches the Rfam family "Bacterial small subunit ribosomal RNA", at positions 338 to 795 of the family's 1533-position model. The record is from RNAcentral.
CCUACGGGGGACAGCAGUGAGGAAUAUUGGUCAAUGGGCGCAAGCCUGAACCAGCCAAGUCGCGUGAGGGAUGACGGUCCUAUGGAUUGUAAACCUCUUUUGUAUGGGAAUAAAAUGUUCCACGUGUGGGAUUUUGUAUGUACCAUAUGAAUAAGGAUCGGCUAACUCCGUGCCAGCAGCCGCGGUAAUACGGAGGAUCCGAGCGUUAUCCGGAUUUAUUGGGUUUAAAGGGAGCGUAGGUGGAUUGUUAAGUCAGUUGUGAAAGUUUGCGGCUCGACCGUAAAAUUGCAGUUGAAACUGGCAGUCUUGAGUACAGUAGAGGUGGGCGGAAUUCGUGGUGUAGCGGUGAAAUGCUUAGAUAUCACGAAGAACUCCGAUUGCGAAGGCAGUUCACUGGACUGCAACUGACACUGAGGCUCGAAAGUGUGGGUAUCAAACAGGAUUAGAUACCCCAGUAGUC